UUCCUCAGCCCACGGUCGUCCGCCGCCCGCCGCCUGUAAUUCGCCGGUUGCCUGCUUCGUGACCUCUUGCUAACUCUGCUUCGCAGCCCUCCGCCGCCUGUGCUUCACGGCCCACCGGAAGUAGAGGACAUAAACCUCUCAUCCAUAUCGCCGUCGAUUGGCGGUGAUGUCUAGCCUCACAUAAUCCGGCGGUGAUUCUUUCCAAAUUCACUAAUUGGAUGUGAGGGGAUUUGUACUCUUAAAUCUGCCCGGCAGCAAAUUUGGUGGUGGUGGUUGUUUUAGAAAAGAAAUUGGCCGCGGUGGCGUCGCGAGGGGUUGUUGGGUAUAGGCGGAGAAAUUGGAAAUUUGGACGAGGUGUUGGUGGAGGAAUUGGUGGUGGAGUUGGAGAUGACAGUGGAGGAAUUGAAGGUGGAGUCGGUGGAGGCUUAGGCGUUAGAAUAGGUGGCGAUGUUGGUGGCAGAUUUGGUGGUGGUGCGGCGGCGGAGCAGAUGUGGUGGUGGUGAUGCGGCGCCGGAGAGAGGAAGAAGACGGAGCAGUAAUUUGAUAUGAUAAUUUCAGGUGGUGGUGCGGCGGUGGAGAGAGAAGGUGUUG
This 591-nucleotide long non-coding RNA is filed under the name Erythranthe guttata (spotted monkey flower). Its description in RNAcentral is "long non-coding RNA (EGUT_LNC003189)". The record is from RNAcentral. Lineage: Eukaryota; Viridiplantae; Streptophyta; Magnoliopsida; Lamiales; Phrymaceae.